AGAGCAAAAUAAACAAGAGGCAGGGGAUUUGGGAACUUCUUUCACAAAGGGCUGAAAGAACAAACACAUGGAGGAAAAACAUGAAACUUCCAAGAGUACAGUCCUAUGAGCAAAAACUCAGACAUCUUUGAGCGAUAGAAGAGACAACUGGGCCGGGGGCCAGUUCAGUGCGGACCUACAUUUCAACCACCAUGAUGAAGGAGAGUUGUGUGUGGUGCCCUGUGGAUGGUGCAGGUGAGACGUCCAAAGACAGCAUCGCUCACACUGCUCAGGACGGAUGAGGUACUGAAGGAGGCCAGAUUGGAGGAGCCAGCCUGGGCAGGGCUGUGGCUGUUUCAGGGCAAGGUAAGGGGUCCUUCUGUGAACUCAGAGAAGUUUCCUGUUUUGUGUCCUUUCCCAAAGCCCUGGUAUAGUGCCGGCCAUUAGGAACAUUAUAAAGUGCACCCAGUUUUUCUUGGUGGAAGUUCCCCUUUUUGUGUCCUUUACCCUUUUAAAAAUAUGUCUUCCCUUGUUUCUCCUUAUCCUUGAUCACGUCCCUUUUUUCAGGGAGAGAAAUUGUCAAAAAAUUUAUACUACUAAGAGUAAUUUAAACCACCCUAGAAAGGCUUCUAUUUAAAAGAAAGAGCCAUGAGGUGAUGGAUAUGUUAAUUAGCUUGAUUUAAUGACUCCACAUUGUAUUAAUAAAUCAUAACACUACUUUGUGCCCAUAAAUAGAUACAAUUACAAAUUGUCAAUUUGCAAUAAAAUAAAAAUAAAUAAAAAUGAAAAAAGGA
This 773-nucleotide long non-coding RNA is filed under the name Homo sapiens (human). Its description in RNAcentral is "testicular germ cell expressed HSF2 interacting lncRNA". The record is from RNAcentral. Lineage: Eukaryota; Metazoa; Chordata; Mammalia; Primates; Hominidae.